UUUCCCUCAGGAUAGCUGGCACUCGCUUGAGCGAGUCUCAUCUGGUAAAGCGAAUGAUUAGAGGCCUUGGGGCCGAAACGACCUCAACCUAUUCUCAAACUUUAAAUGGGUGAGAUCUCUGGCUUGCUUGAACGUUGAAGCCACGAGAUUCUUUCCACUCGGAUCAGAGUGCCAAGUGGGCCAAUUUUGGUAAGCAGAACUGGCGCUGUGGGA
Molecule: ribosomal RNA, 213 nt
Filed under: Antrocephalus sp. D1891
Lineage: Eukaryota; Metazoa; Arthropoda; Insecta; Hymenoptera; Chalcididae
Description: partial 28S ribosomal RNA
Rfam family: Eukaryotic large subunit ribosomal RNA
Source: RNAcentral